CCAUGUCUCGCCGUGACGUCACGCGCCGUAUCCCGAGCCCGAGCGCUCCCCUGAGCGCGUGGUCCCGGUCGCGAGCACAUGGAAGUGAGGUCGAGAUUUUGUGUCUGUGAGACGCGCGACUGAUCAUCAUGUGGGUGAAAGAAUGAAAAGGGAAUAUAAAAAAGCGAUAAAGCAGCGACGGAGACCGAGAGAACAGCGCGUUGGUGAAAGUGUGAAAGCUGCCAGCCUCCAAAAUAAACCACCAGAGGGACGGGUGGUGUUGCAGACCCUCAUGCAGACCCAGGUCUUACUGCGGCUGCCGCUCUCAUAGACGACUGAAGAUACUGAACUGAAUGGGAAGGAUGCAAAGGUGGAAGCAGUCAGUCUUGGAUUCGGUUUCACUGAGUCUUAAUGGAACACACACGCUCGAACACACACACAUACUGCAUGUUUUUUAAUACUAUCUACUUCCCCCUUUCUUUCAGAGGACAUAGAUACACCCUGAAUGGGCCUCUGUGGUGAUCUACACUGUGGUUGGGAAGUACCUAGUGUUACAACUGUCAUGCUGGUCUGCUUAAAGGGACAGCGAUGAUCACUUUUACACGCAGUACGUUUUGUUUUCAGAGCUUUGAAAAAUCCAUAUAGUUGGAUGUUUCAGUUUUCGCCUUAAUAGUGAGUGAGCAGUUUCUCUGUGCAGAGUUUAGAAAUCAAACAGGGUCUUUUCUGUGUUAAAUUGCAGUUUCUAAAUGGUCAGGACAUCACUUGAAAUGCAGAAAGACUUAAUGGAGACUUCUCAGACUUCUUUCUUCAAUAAAGACAUAAAUUCAAUAGAUUUAAAGGCGUCGCCUCUUCUAUAGAGUCCAUCUUCAUACUCACACAAAAAAACAGAAGUCUAUUCAACUUUUUACCAGUUGACUAAUCUAUAAUUGCUGGGGUCAUGAAACUAUACUUCCAGAAUACACUGAGAAUUUGUGAUAUUGUGUAAAUGAAAUCUAACCACAAUGAGGUGAAAGAGGAAUGGAAUUUGUUUUGCAAUCGUUUCUAAAAAACCACAUAGAUUUUUACUUGCAUAUUCUGUUUGCAUGUUGUAGGUAUUUUCUGUUUCACUUUACACUUUUGAAUGUUUUGACAAAGCUUGUCUGAAUAAAUAUUUCUCUCUGACAGAUGUUUACUAAGCGUGUGUUUUUCUUGGACUCCGACAAGUGAGUGAAGCGUGCUCAUUACACUGAAGCCGGUCCUAAGUGUUCUGCAUCACCGCCUCUCAGUUUACAGCUGCAGAGAGUGAGAUCUUAGGCAAACACCGUAUCCGUGCUAAUUACGAAAUCCUAACCACAACAUGGAGAGCUAUUUGAGAGCUUCAUAGACAAGGUGCCGUCCUGCAGAA
This 1363-nucleotide long non-coding RNA is filed under the name Dicentrarchus labrax (European seabass). RNAcentral describes it as "lncRNA (ENSDLAG00005022648.2)". Lineage: Eukaryota; Metazoa; Chordata; Actinopteri; Moronidae. The record is from RNAcentral.